Molecule: small RNA, 431 nt
Filed under: Staphylococcus aureus
Lineage: Bacteria; Bacillati; Bacillota; Bacilli; Caryophanales; Staphylococcaceae
Description: 3'UTR
Source: RNAcentral
UCAAUACGCAAUUAUACUUCCUAAUAAAUUAUAUUAUAAAUAUUUUACGAUUUUCGACUCGGACUAUACAAUAGACUGACAUACUAUUAUUAACUUAACAUUCAAAUAUAUACAUCCAUUAACAUUAGCAUAGUCACUAUGUUUCAUUCAACAAAUUACAUUAUCGAACUAUGAAAUAGUCAUAAUUUGCUUUUGGAGUAUAAAAAAGCACUUGUGCAAAAACACAAGUGCUUUAAACUUAAUUUAUUGUUCACUAGUUUGAAUCAAGCCAUAUUUACCGUCUUUACGGCGGUAAACGAUACUUGUUCCAUCAGUUUCUCUGUCUGUGAAUACAAAGAAGUCAUGACCUAAUAGAUUCAUUUGUAAUACCGCUUCUUCUGAAUCCAUUGGUUUUAAGCUGAAUUCUUUUGAACGAAUAAUUUCUAUCUCGU